CGAGGACACAGAGUCACGCACCGCUUUGUGGACGGCAUUGUGGAUCGCGCGGUUCAACCGCCACUCGUGUUCGGGCGAAUGCAGAGGAAUGGACUAAUCAAGCAGCACAUGGAAGAACCCUCCCUGCAGCUAUGUGAUGCCACCAGGUCCAGUUCAUCUGAUGAAGAGGACUUCUUCUUCGUCAUCUCAAGCGCAUGACAGCAACAAACAGCUGGAUGGAGACCUGACCUGUUCAGCAGAUCACAUUGACUUGCUGAAAUGCUUCCCAACUGUGUGCUGCUGUCUGUGAAGCUAGACACACUCUACCUGCACCAUGUGAACGGCUCUUCAGCAUCGCAGGACUCGUCUUCAGCCCCAGAAGAGCGACACUGACAUCUGUUCAUUUUGAAAAUCAACUUCUUUUGAAGAUGAACAGGAAUUUGUUCAGUUUCAAGUGAUGAUUCUGGUUGUUACUUUUGGUGCUGCUUUUUUCUGUGUUAAUCGUGUAUUUAUAUUUUAGUAAUUUCAUAGUAUUCAUAUAUUGCUAAGUUCAUCCUAGCUCAUACUCCUUGUUCAUGGCGGCCUAAACAAAUAAACUUCAUAAUUCUCACAA
Molecule: long non-coding RNA, 592 nt
Organism: Pseudoliparis swirei
Lineage: Eukaryota; Metazoa; Chordata; Actinopteri; Perciformes; Liparidae
Exons: 2
Source: RefSeq, a predicted model, not a curated record